AGGAGGAGGAGGAGAAGAAGGAGGAGAAGGAGAAGGAGGAGGAGAAGGAGAAGAAGAAGAAGAAGGGAGGAUUCCUGAGUUUCAGAGCUGUGCAGGACUUCAUCAGCAACCUCUUCCAGCUGCUAAAAUUCCCAUAGAUGAAAGACCCCAGGCAACUCAUUGUGAAGAUGCCCACCCCACCACUGGGUGAUUCCUUAUGGAGAACUAUAGAGCAUUCCCAGCCUUAGCCCAGAUCGUCACUUUCUCUUCUGUGCAUUUGAGAAGCAAGCAGGCGUCUCUCCAGCAUCUGCAGCUCUAGGUUCCACCCCAUAAUUUUACAGAAGAGACAGACAUGCAAUUAAGAUGACCUGCCUGGGGCCCACAACAUUAGAUCAUUUCCUCAUAUAGCAUGAAUUUGACAAAGUUCACAGAAAAUGGAACGUACUCACAGGGUGCCAUCAAAACAAAAAGGCUGGCUCAGAAUCAGUAUGCAAAUAGUGUAAAAUUGUUUUAAUGCCUGGACUUUGAAACAAGUAACAAGUGUUCGAAAGUAUAUAAUCUAAGAGCGAAUUUGCCCUCCUUGGACUAACCACAUACAAAUAUGAAUCUGGCUGCAA
This is a long non-coding RNA of Homo sapiens (human), 596 nucleotides long. RefSeq lists it as uncharacterized. The transcript has 4 exons. The record is from RefSeq and is a predicted model, not a curated record. Lineage: Eukaryota; Metazoa; Chordata; Mammalia; Primates; Hominidae.